RNAcentral lists this ribosomal RNA (670 nucleotides) under uncultured bacterium. Its description in RNAcentral is "bacterial SSU rRNA". It matches the Rfam family "Bacterial small subunit ribosomal RNA", at positions 8 to 670 of the family's 1533-position model. The record is from RNAcentral.
AGAGUUUGAUCAUGGCUCAGGACGAACGCUGGCGGCGUGCUUAACACAUGCAAGUCGAACGGGGGAUUAAUUUCUGAAGUUUUCGGAUAGAAGGGAUUAAUUUUCAGUGGCGGACGGGUGAGUAACGCGUGAGCAACCUGUCCUGCAGAGGGGGACAACAACGGGAAACUGUUGCUAAUACCGCAUGAGACCACGCUCUCGCAUGGGAGCGAGGUAAAAGGAGGAAUCCGCUGCAGGAGGGGCUCGCGUCCCAUUAGAUAGUUGGUGAGGUAAAGGCCCACCAAGUCAGCGAUGGGUAGCCGGACUGAGAGGUUGAACGGCCACACUGGGACUGAGACACGGCCCAGACUCCUACGGGAGGCAGCAGUGGGGAAUAUUGGGCAAUGGGCGCAAGCCUGACCCAGCAACGCCGCGUGAAGGGAAGAAGGUUUUCGGAUUGUAAACUUCUGUCAUUGGGGACGAANAGAAUGACGGUACCCGAUGAGGAAGCCCCGGCUAACUACGUGCCAGCAGCCGCGGUAAUACGUAGGGGGGCGAGCGUUGUCCGGAAUUACUGGGGCGUAAAGGGUGCGUAAGCGGCGAUGCAAGUUCAUUGUGAAAACCCGGCUUAACCUGGGAAGGGGCAGUGGAAACUGCAUGGCUUGGAUGCAGGACAGGAAAGUGGAAUCCC